This 1334-nucleotide ribosomal RNA is filed under the name uncultured marine eukaryote. RNAcentral's name for it is "SSU rRNA". It matches the Rfam family "Eukaryotic small subunit ribosomal RNA", at positions 406 to 1758 of the family's 1831-position model. The record is from RNAcentral.
GCGCCUACAAGGGAGGAGCAGGCGCGCAAUUACCCAAUCCUGACUCAGGGAGGUAGUGACAAGAAAUAACAAUAAACCGGCUUAUGCCGGUUUAAUUGGAAUGAGUACAAUUUAAACAUCUUAACGAGGAACAAUUGGAGGGCAAGUCUGGUGCCAGCAGCCGCGGUAAUUCCAGCUCCAAUAGCGUAUACUAAAGUUGUUGCAGUUAAAAAGCUCGUAGUUGGAUUUCUGUGGGGACGGAGCGGCCGGCCGCACAUCGCGGUUCGAGCUAGCGCUUUCCCUACAUCCUGCCGCGAACCGUGCUACCAUUAGUUUGGUGGCGCCGGGGAUCGGCUCGAUUACUUUGAGAAAAAUAGAGUGUUCAAAGCAGGCCACAUGCCUUGAAUAAGUUAGCAUGGAAUAAUAACUAAGGACUUCGGUUCUAUUUUGUUGGUGUUCGGGACUGAAGUAAUGAUUGAUAGGGACAGUUGGGGCGGUCUGUAUUCCAAAGCGAGAGGUGAAAUUCUUAGACCUUCGGAAGACAAACAGCUGCGAAAGCGUUCCGCAAGGAUGUUCCCUUUGAUCAAGAACGAAAGUUGGGGGAUCGAAGACGAUCAGAUACCGUCGUAGUCUCAACUAUAAACUAUACCAGCUAGGGAUCGGCCAACGUUAUUUUAUACCGACUUGGUCGGCACCUUAUGAGAAAUCAAAGCAUCUGGGUUCCGGGGGGAGUAUGGUCGCAAGGCUGAAACUUAAAGGAAUUGACGGAAGGGCACCACCAGCCGUGGAGCCUGUGGCUUAAUUUGACUCAACACGGGAAAACUUACCAGGUCCGGACAUAGUAAGGAUUGACAGAUUGAUAGCUCUUUCUUGAUUCUGUGGGUGGUGGUGCAUGGCCGUUCUUAGUUGGUGGAGCGAUUUGUCUGGUUAAUUCCGUUAACGAACGAGACCCCAGCCUGCUAAAUAGCGCGAGUGAGCUUUGCUCGCUGCGAGCUUCUUAGAGGGACUAUGAUGCGCGAUAGCACAUGGAAGUUUGGGGCAAUAACAGGUCUGUGAUGCCCUUAGAUGUUCUGGGCCGCACACGGGCUACACUGGCGCCUGCAACGAGCAUAUCAGCUGGCCCGAGAGGGUCUUGGCUAAUCUUUUGAACCGGCGCCGUGCUUGGGAUUGACCUUUGCAAUUGUUGGUCAUGCGACGAGGAAUGCCUUGUAAACGCGAGUCAUCAGCUCGCAUUGAAUACGUCCCUGCCCUUUGUACACACCGCCCGUCGCUCCUACCGAUGAAUGUUCCGAUGAAAUUUUCGGAGAGCACCUGUGAACUUGGCUCUGCCUUGCGAACGGGAGGCUCAAAGUCAC